CUACGGAGGGUGCAAGCGUUACUCGGAAUCACUGGGCGUAAAGGACGCGUAGGCGGGUUGGUAAGUCAGAUGUGAAAUCCUACAGCUUAACUGUAGAACUGCAUUUGAAACUACUAACCUAGAGUAUGGGAGGGGGAGAUGGAAUUAGUGGUGUAGGGGUAAAAUCCGUAGAUAUCACUAGGAAUACCGAAAGCGAAGGCGAUCUCCUGGAACAUAACUGACGCUAAGGCGUGAAAGCGUGGGGAGCAAACAGGAUUAGAUACCCCAGUAGUCC
Molecule: ribosomal RNA, 274 nt
Filed under: uncultured bacterium
Lineage: Bacteria
Description: partial 16S ribosomal RNA
Rfam family: Bacterial small subunit ribosomal RNA
Source: RNAcentral